RNAcentral lists this non-coding RNA (30 nucleotides) under Mus musculus (house mouse). The record is from RNAcentral. Lineage: Eukaryota; Metazoa; Chordata; Mammalia; Rodentia; Muridae.
UUCAAAGUCACCCCUUGAUUGGUGAUGAGG